RNAcentral lists this long non-coding RNA (523 nucleotides) under Bos indicus x Bos taurus (hybrid cattle). RNAcentral describes it as "lncRNA (ENSBIXG00000018383.1)". The record is from RNAcentral. Lineage: Eukaryota; Metazoa; Chordata; Mammalia; Artiodactyla; Bovidae.
AUGGGGGUUGUUUGCCACAGUGUAUCUGCACCAGGAGACCCUGACCCACAGAAAGGCCAAGCUUAUUUCCUCAUCUUCAAGGAGAAUUUACCAAGGGGCAAUUUACCAACCAGCUGCAGUAAAGGAAGCAGAGGCCUGAGCAUCUCUCCAGCACAGGCUGUCAGAGGAGCAGAGGAGACAACCUGCAGGAGGCAUUUCCUGCCCGAAGCACCUGCAGACUCUUGUGUUCAGAGUCAGCCCCAGGUUGACCCCUGAAACUCCAUCUUAUUGAGUGCAUCUCCUGGCAGGAGACUUUGGGAAAUCCCACCAAAGUCAUGGGCAUCUGCCUUCUGAGAACGUAGGCCUGUGGGCCUGGGAAGGCCGAGGGCCUUGGGGAGAUAUCCUUUCAGACUCAUUUCCCUAUUUUUUUUUAGUGUAUAACAAGGGUCCCCAUCUCCGGGAUCUAAGGCCUGAUGAUCUGAGGUGGAGCUGAUGUAAUAAUAACAGAAAUAAAGUGCACAAUAACGGUAAUGUGCUUGAAUCA